GUUUGAUGGGAGGCAGUCUGAUCCAGCUAUGCCGCGUGCAGGAUGACGGCCCUAUGGGUUGUAAACUGCUUUUAUACAGGAAGAAAAACUCCGACGUGUCGGAACUUGACGGUACUGUAAGAAUAAGGAUCGGCUAACUCCGUGCCAGCAGCCGCGGUAAUACGGAGGAUCCAAGCGUUAUCCGGAAUCAUUGGGUUUAAAGGGUCCGUAGGCGGUUUUUUAAGUCAGAGGUGAAAUCCUGCAGCUCAACUGUAGAAUUGCCUUUGAUACUGAAAGACUUGAGUUAUUGUGAAGUGGUUAGAAUGUGUGGUGUAGCGGUGAAAUGCAUAGAUAUCACACAGAAUACCAAUUGCGAAGGCAGAUCACUAACAAUAUACUGACGCUCAGGGACGAAAGCGUGGGUAGCGAACAGGAUUAGAUACCCUGGUAGUCCACGCCGUAAACGAUGGAUACUAGCUGUAUGUCUACUUCAGGUAGAUGUGUGGCUAAACGAAAGUGAUAAGUAUCCCACCUGGGGAGUACGAUCGCAAGAUUGAAACUCAAAGGAAUUGACGG
This 555-nucleotide ribosomal RNA is filed under the name uncultured bacterium. RNAcentral's name for it is "bacterial SSU rRNA". It matches the Rfam family "Bacterial small subunit ribosomal RNA", at positions 364 to 916 of the family's 1533-position model. The record is from RNAcentral.